GAAAUGCGAUAAGUAGUGUGAAUUGCAGAAUUCAGUGAAUCAUCGAAUCUUUGAACGCACAUUGCGCUCCUUGGUAUUCCUUGGAGCAUGCCAGUUUGAGUAUCAUGAAAUCUUCAAAGUAAAUCUUUUGUUAACUCAAUUGGUUUCUACUUUGGUAUUGGAGGUCUUUGCAGCUUCACACCUGCUCCUCUUUGUUCAUUAGCUGGAUCUCAGUGUUAUGCUUGGUUCCACUCGGCGUGAUAAGUUAUCUAUCGCUGAGGACACUGUAAAAGGUGGCCAAGGUAAAUGCAGAUGAACCGCUUCUAAUAGUCCAUUGACUUGGACAAUACUUUUAUGAUCUGAUCUCAAAUCAGGUAGGACUACCCGCUGAACUUAAGC
RNAcentral lists this unclassified non-coding RNA (378 nucleotides) under plant metagenome. Its description in RNAcentral is "partial contains 5.8S ribosomal RNA, internal transcribed spacer 2, and large subunit ribosomal RNA". The stretch from base 1 to 105 matches the Rfam family "5.8S ribosomal RNA", at positions 50 to 154 of the family's 154-position model. The record is from RNAcentral.